This 1978-nucleotide ribosomal RNA is filed under the name Yersinia ruckeri. RNAcentral describes it as "bacterial LSU rRNA". It matches the Rfam family "Bacterial large subunit ribosomal RNA", at positions 1 to 1992 of the family's 2925-position model. The record is from RNAcentral. Lineage: Bacteria; Pseudomonadati; Pseudomonadota; Gammaproteobacteria; Enterobacterales; Yersiniaceae.
GGGUUGUGAGGUUAAGCGACUAAGCGUACACGGUGGAUGCCUAGGCAGUCAGAGGCGAUGAAGGGCGUGCUAAUCUGCGAAAAGCGUCGGUAAGCUGAUAUGAAGCGUAAUAACCGACGAUACCCGAAUGGGGAAACCCAGUGCAAUUCGUUGCACUAUUGCAUGGUGAAUACAUAGCCAUGCAAGGCGAACCGGGGGAACUGAAACAUCUAAGUACCCCGAGGAAAAGAAAUCAACCGAGAUUCCCCCAGUAGCGGCGAGCGAACGGGGAAGAGCCCAGAGUCUGAAUCAGUUGGUGUGUUAGUGGAAGCGUCUGGAAAGUCGCACGGUACAGGGUGAUAGUCCCGUACACAAAAACACACUGGCUGUGAACUCGAUGAGUAGGGCGGGACACGUGACAUCCUGUCUGAAUAUGGGGGGACCAUCCUCCAAGGCUAAAUACUCCUGACUGACCGAUAGUGAACCAGUACCGUGAGGGAAAGGCGAAAAGAACCCCGGCGAGGGGAGUGAAAUAGAACCUGAAACCGUGUACGUACAAGCAGUGGGAGCACCUUCGUGGUGUGACUGCGUACCUUUUGUAUAAUGGGUCAGCGACUUAUAUUUUGUAGCAAGGUUAACCGAAUAGGGGAGCCGUAGGGAAACCGAGUCUUAACUGGGCGUCUAGUUGCAAGGUAUAGACCCGAAACCCGGUGAUCUAGCCAUGGGCAGGUUGAAGGUUGGGUAACACUAACUGGAGGACCGAACCGACUAAUGUUGAAAAAUUAGCGGAUGACUUGUGGCUGGGGGUGAAAGGCCAAUCAAACCGGGAGAUAGCUGGUUCUCCCCGAAAGCUAUUUAGGUAGCGCCUCGUGAACUCAUCUUCGGGGGUAGAGCACUGUUUCGGCUAGGGGUCCAUCCCGGAUUACCAAACCGAUGCAAACUCCGAAUACCGAAGAAUGUUAUCACGGGAGACACACGGCGGGUGCUAACGUCCGUCGUGAAGAGGGAAACAACCCAGACCGCCAGCUAAGGUCCCAAAGUCAUGGUUAAGUGGGAAACGAUGUGGGAAGGCAUAGACAGCCAGGAUGUUGGCUUAGAAGCAGCCAUCAUUUAAAGAAAGCGUAAUAGCUCACUGGUCGAGUCGGCCUGCGCGGAAGAUGUAACGGGGCUAAACCAUGCACCGAAGCUGCGGCAGCGACGCUUAGGCGUUGUUGGGUAGGGGAGCGUUCUGUAAGCCGUUGAAGGUGGCCUGUGAGGGCUGCUGGAGGUAUCAGAAGUGCGAAUGCUGACAUAAGUAACGAUAAUGCGGGUGAAAAACCCGCACGCCGGAAGACCAAGGGUUCCUGUCCAACGUUAAUCGGGGCAGGGUGAGUCGACCCCUAAGGCGAGGCUGAAAAGCGUAGUCGAUGGGAAACAGGUUAAUAUUCCUGUACUGGGUGUGACUGCGAAGGGGGGACGGAGAAGGCUAGGCUAGCCGGGCGACGGUUGUCCCGGUUUAAGCAUGUAGGCGGAGCGACUUGGUAAAUCCGGUUGCUUAUCAACGCUGAGGUGUGAUGACGAGCCACUACGGUGGUGAAGUAGUUGAUGCCAAGCUUCCAGGAAAAGCCUCUAAGCAUCAGGUGACAUUCAAUCGUACCCCAAACCGACACAGGUGGUCAGGUAGAGAAUACUCAGGCGCUUGAGAGAACUCGGGUGAAGGAACUAGGCAAAAUGGUGCCGUAACUUCGGGAGAAGGCACGCUGGCAUUAGGUAAAGAGACUUGCUCUCGGCGCCGAAGCCAGUCGCAGAUACCAGCUGGCUGCAACUGUUUAAUAAAAACACAGCACUGUGCAAACACGAAAGUGGACGUAUACGGUGUGACGCCUGCCCGGUGCUGGAAGGUUAAUUGAUGGGGUCAGCCGCAAGGCGAAGCUCUUGAUCGAAGCCCCAGUAAACGGCGGCCGUAACUAUAACGGUCCUAAGGUAGCGAAAUUCCUUGUCGGGUAAGUUCCGACCUGCA